GGAGAGGUGGCUGAGCGGUCGAAAGCGGCGGAUUGCUAAUCCGUUGUACAGUUAAGGCUGUACCGAGGGUUCGAAUCCCUCCCUCUCCG
This 89-nucleotide transfer RNA is filed under the name Scytonema sp. CRU_2_7. Its description in RNAcentral is "tRNA-Ser". It matches the Rfam family "tRNA". Rfam says of the family: Transfer RNA (tRNA) molecules are approximately 80 nucleotides in length. Lineage: Bacteria; Bacillati; Cyanobacteriota; Cyanophyceae; Nostocales; Scytonemataceae. RNAcentral also lists the same sequence under 1 other name. The record is from RNAcentral.